CAGCGUUUCUCUGUAUUACUUUGCAGCGUGUCCUGGAACUUGCUCUGUAGACCAGGCUGGCCUCAAACUCACAGAGAUCUGCCUGUCUCUGCCUCCCAAGUGCUGGGAUUAAAAGUGUGCGUCCCCAACUCCCAACCAAUUCAGCUUUAUUAUGGAAACAUAAAGUCUAGUAAUAGCACAAUGGAGUAUCGUAAUGUCACAAUCUAGCAACACUGUGAUGUCAAAUUUCAACGCUUUUCUCAUGGUGAAAUGGAGCAGUGUGAAGCCACGGCUCAGAAUGAUGUCACAGUGCUGCGUCGGUGUGUCUGUCAUAAGGCAGCAGUCACGCCAUCACUUCACAGAGCAGCAUUGAGACAGCACAAGGUGGAAGAGGAAAAGAAAGGCACAAAGAGGCCGCUGGGCCAUGAGUGAGCUAUAUGACGGUACUAAGGACAUUUUCAUGGCACAAUGAGGCAUCGCGAUCAAAUACAGCAUUGUGAGAUUUACAAUUCAACAUUGUGUCAUCAAAAUUCGGCAUUGCACCAACACAGCAGAGCACCGCGACGGCAUGAUAUAGCAUUGUGAAGUCACAAUUGAGCAUGACGUUAGCAUGAUUGAUGACUGUGGUGUCAAAACUGAGCAUUGUGAUGCCACAACAGAGGGGACUUUGAACAAUUUAACAUUAUACUGAAGGACUAUGACAUUUCGUGGAGUGUUGUCACAUCCCCAGUGAGAACUGAGAUGACCCAGCAUGUAAACCAUUUUGAUGCUGCAAAUUCAGCAAUGUGAUGUCACAGCGUCACACUGUGGUGGCACUGCAGAUUAUAAUGAUGGAAUAGUGAAACGUUUGGAUGUCACAAGUCAGCACUGUAAUGAUACAAAA
Mesocricetus auratus (golden hamster) is the source of this 862-nucleotide long non-coding RNA. RefSeq lists it as uncharacterized. Lineage: Eukaryota; Metazoa; Chordata; Mammalia; Rodentia; Cricetidae. The record is from RefSeq and is a predicted model, not a curated record. The transcript is spliced from 2 exons.